RNAcentral lists this ribosomal RNA (254 nucleotides) under uncultured Comamonadaceae bacterium. RNAcentral describes it as "partial 16S ribosomal RNA". It matches the Rfam family "Bacterial small subunit ribosomal RNA", at positions 524 to 776 of the family's 1533-position model. The record is from RNAcentral. Lineage: Bacteria; Pseudomonadati; Pseudomonadota; Betaproteobacteria; Burkholderiales; Comamonadaceae.
UACGUAGGGUGCAAGCGUUAAUCGGAAUUACUGGGCGUAAAGCGUGCGCAGGCGGUUUUGUAAGACAGAGGUGAAAUCCCCGGGCUCAACCUGGGAACUGCCUUUGUGACUGCAAGGCUAGAGUACGGCAGAGGGGGGGUGGAAUUCCGCGUGUAGCAGUGAAAUGCGUAGAUAUGCGGAGGAACACCGAUGGCGAAGGCAACCCCCUGGGCCAGUACUGACGCUCAUGCACGAAAGCGUGGGGAGCAAACAGG